UAAUCCAUUCAAUUGUAAUCAUACCAAUGAGUAUUUACUAUACAAUGUUUUUUGACUAGCGACUAAUAUUACAAUAGAGCUACUUACAUGCAGUGUACACGUAUGUAAUUCCUAUGGGCAGGUGGGAAAUGAAUACUCGGCGAGUAUUACUCGUAUAAGCACGGAAUGACCUUGUCGUUUGUAACACUUAAAAAGACAUUAACAAAAGUCGAUUUCAUGUACCCUUAACGCAAUGAUAUUUCUUAGCAGUCUCUUGCAACUUAUAGCAACUACUUGUUAAUCCUUUGGAAAUAGUUGUAUUUCGUAAAGAAUGAAGCACCGUUAUUACGAUCAAGAUUGGAACAAAACCGUAAAAGAAGGGCUAAAAAGAUACUUUAAUUUAAAAGAAAAUAAAGAUCUAUUCACACAGAAUGAAGAGUGGAUGGUUUAUAUGAAACAUUAACUCAAAUUGUUAACAGAGGUGAUGGUGAUGCUUUGAAAAAUAUAAUAAGGUGAAGCAUCUGCAAUGAAAUAUUUUAAGAUAUUGAUUUGCCAUUAUAAGCACGAUUGUAUUGGUAACAUUGAUUCUUUACAUAUAACCAUCAAAUGAAAAAAAUCUAUCUCAUAGCUAUUUGAAAACUAGUAAAGCUGAUACUGUUGAAUAUAUCAGGGACGAAAUUAAGAGUUUUCGUGAUAAAAUAAAGACGAAAGUACAAGAUGAAUAUAUAAAAAAAAGUAUAUACUUCAAAACAAAUUCAUAUUAAAAUAACAAAAUAUUAUUAAAUUCACUAAUAGACCGAUGAAACCUUUUAAUAAUGACAAUGUGAUAAAUGUUGUACAUAUUAGCAGUAACAGUGAAGAUAAAGCAGGAAAACAGAUA
Non-coding RNA from Megalopta genalis, 859 nucleotides. The record is from RefSeq and is a predicted model, not a curated record. Lineage: Eukaryota; Metazoa; Arthropoda; Insecta; Hymenoptera; Halictidae.